AUUGUACAUACCUCCGUCCGAAAAUACUUGUCACCAAAACAAAUAAAAAUGGGUGUAUCUAGAACUAAAAUAUGUCUAGAUACAUCUCUUUUCAUCCAUUUUGAUGACAAGUAUUUACGGACGGAGGGAGUACGUG
Molecule: non-coding RNA, 136 nt
Organism: Triticum aestivum (bread wheat)
Lineage: Eukaryota; Viridiplantae; Streptophyta; Magnoliopsida; Poales; Poaceae
Source: Rfam